GUGCUCGCUUUAACAGCACAUAUACUAAAAUUGGAAUAACACAGAGAAAAUUAGCAUGGCCCCUGCUAUGCACAAGAAUGACAUGCAGAUUCCCAUCACCCCCACUGCCGUCACUCUUUUUU
RNAcentral lists this small nuclear RNA (122 nucleotides) under Mus pahari (shrew mouse). Lineage: Eukaryota; Metazoa; Chordata; Mammalia; Rodentia; Muridae. The record is from RNAcentral.